GACGAACGCUGGCGGCGUGCUUAACACAUGCAAGUCGAGCGGUAAGGCCCUUUCGGGGGUACACGAGCGGCGAACGGGUGAGUAACACGUGGGUGACCUGCCCUCAGCUCUGGGAUAAGCCUGGGAAACCGGGUACUAAUACUGGAUAUGACUCCAUGACGCAUGUUGGUGGGGUGGAAAGCCUUGUGCGGCUGAGGAUGGGCCCGCGGCCUAUCAGCUU
RNAcentral lists this ribosomal RNA (220 nucleotides) under uncultured bacterium. RNAcentral describes it as "partial 16S ribosomal RNA". It matches the Rfam family "Bacterial small subunit ribosomal RNA", at positions 28 to 247 of the family's 1533-position model. The record is from RNAcentral.